This 236-nucleotide ribosomal RNA is filed under the name uncultured bacterium. RNAcentral describes it as "partial 16S ribosomal RNA". It matches the Rfam family "Bacterial small subunit ribosomal RNA", at positions 100 to 334 of the family's 1533-position model. The record is from RNAcentral.
CGGGACGGGUGAGUAACGCGUGGGUAACCUGCCCUGUACAGGGGGAUAACAGUCAGAAAUGACUGCUAAUACCGCAUAAGACCACAGCACCGCAUGGUGCAGGGGUAAAAACUCCGGUGGUACAGGAUGGACCCGCGUCUGAUUAGCUGGUUGGUGAGGUAACGGCUCACCAAGGCGACGAUCAGUAGCCGACCUGAGAGGGUGACCGGCCACAUUGGGACUGAGACACGGCCCAG